UGGAUCUUACUCUCCUGACAAAGCUUGUUCUAAUUAUUUGCAUAGCUUGAUCGUGACAUCAAUGGAAAUUCCAGCUGAAUUUUGGCCAAGAAAGGACGGAACAAUAUGAAAGACAUGAAUCUUCAUGAAACUCCUCUCCUAAUGCAGCAGAGACUCCACAGUGUUUGCAGGCUUUGCUUUUCAUCACAAGAGGUCCCAGGGGAGGUUCAAGGUAGGAUCCUUGCCAUCCCGGCUCAGCAAUCACAGAAAGCCAAAUAAAUAAAGCAGGAAGUUGGCAAAGCCCUGAUUCAGCAAAGGCAGAAGCACAAGUUCAGCAUUAACCUCUGCUUAAAAUGAUUUGGAACAGAAGAGUUAAUCUCAUGGCUGCCCAAAAGUCAGACCAGGAACCCAGGGCCUUGACAGUCAGUAUAUCAGUGCUUUAAAUCUAGUGGGAGAGGGUGCUUAAAGCUGAGGAACCUCUUAAAUAUGGGAAAAGCACUUUCCCUGGUAGGAGGUAGUAACUCAAAGAAUGGUUUCCAGCCCACGGCCAGAUGCAGUGGUCGGGCGAUUGUGGCCAAGGCACUGAUGCCCUGAGCAUGGCUGAUGUUGGAUGGCAGUGGACGGGUGACUCCAGGGGAGGCUGCCGUGGCCCCAGCAGCUCCUCCUCACCCCCAUCCCUCGCGUGGGGAGGCCAGAGAUCCCUGGGCAGCGCGGGGAAGGCUGGGGACUGGAGGGGUGUCAGGGCAGCAGCUCAGCCAGGGGCUGCAGCGCUGCCCCUGCUCACCAGCACCGCCCUGGAGAAGCCUCUCGGAUGCGGGAAGGACGGGGUCGGAUCGGGGUAAGGGCUCACGUGGAUCAAAAUACCCUUCCAGGGAGGGAUGUAGGGUCUGCCUUUGGGCUGCAGGGGUGACGCUGGGUCGGAGCAGGGAAAGGGAGUGCAGGACGCCGCCUGGAGAGGUGGGUUUGCGCUUUAAACGUGUGGGACAUCCCCGGAGGAGGGAGCGCGAUGCUCCCCCAGCCCCAAACGCGCCCGGCCGGCGGGACGCGGCUCCCGCAGCCGGCACAGCCCGGCUCCCUGGCUCUCCGCGCUUAUCUGAUCUGCACCUCCGUAAUGAUGUGGUUAGAAUUGAAUUAUGGUGCUUUAAUGUAGUUACAGCUACAUUUCCCAGGCACAUUUCUUCCUGACGUACAACGCUGGAAUUUCGGAUGUGGCCAGAGGCUGUGGGUGACUCCUUGUCUCCCGGGCUCGCUGCAGCCUUGCCACGUGCUGUGCCAGGCCCUGGCCGGAAAGGCAAACUGAGGAGCUCGGGCCACAUCUGCUGCUGGAAAAUCAGUGAAUGACACGGAAAGCCAGGGAAUUGCAUUAAAGCUGCAGGAAAAUACCUUCAGGGAUCCGUGGAGGAAGGGGUGAUCUUUAGCCAAUACACGUGGUAGUGUGACCGUGAGGAUUUUGUGCCCACUGAAGAUCUGUGCCGAGAUAGUCUAAAGCCUCAUGGAAACUUUCUUGCUCGUGUGUCCUUUGAUGUGAACUUAAUGGUCAUGGAAUUCGCUGUAUCAGCAAUAAGAACCAUUUGAUUAACUGGAAAGAAGCAAACAAAGUAGUUAACUCCAAAGUCAGACAGGAAAUGAUGGGUUUGCCGUUUCCAUCAUGCCAGAGGUGCAGGAAAGCCCAAACUUCAAAAUGUGAGGGAUCCCCACAAUCUACAGAGUGUGAGCUUUGCUUAUCAACCUCUCGGGGUGUUUUCAUCAAUUCUGAUCUGCCUGUUGUUAAUUUACAGCGAUGGUGUCCUCUGGGGAGUGACUUGUUUUUCCUACCCCUGAUUCAGCUCCACACUUGUGAAUUUUAAAUGCAUGUGCAUAUAUAAAUGAGUGUCUGUAUUUAUCCAGAUCCUGCCAGCACAUGUUUUGCAAUAAUUCUCCUUGGAUGCUCUUGCUUUCUCCCGCAGUCGAUUUUUUUGAAUGACAUGGAACUGAUAAUGGAUGUGGUUUCAGUGUGAUCGGGCUGACUCGUCUCAUUCCACCUCUCCUGCUUUUGAGCAAGAAUGUGAGGACUUGCUGUGUCUAUUUUAGAUUCCGUCAUGAAAGGAAUAAUUGAGAUUGAGAUUCUUAGUCACUCAAUGCGGAAGGUCAGGGAAUUAAUGCUGUGUUACACCAGACCAUUCAUUUACUGGGCCUCCUUUUUUUUCCCCCUUAACUGUCUGUAGAGGAAAACAAAUGUGGCUCAGAGAAGGUAACGCAUCUUCAACACCGUACACAGCCCCAGCCUCUGAUAAUACACACUGUUUAUCUUUAUUUUGGGGGUGUUCCAGGGUAGUUUUAUCAUCAUAAUUGAUUAGUGGCGACAGGGAGAAAAAAAUCCAAGAGUAACAGGAAGAAAUGAUUCCAGUGAAUCCAUUGACUCAGUGGUAGCAUUGAUCUACUUCUGGGAAUUAUUUAUAGGAGAAGAUUCAUAGUUAAUAAUAUUAGUUUGGACUUUGGGAGCAGUUUAUCAGAGGCUCUUAAAGGCCUUUGGUAAAAAUUAAUCAGGGAGAGAAAUAAGGUAGACAGCCUGGUUUCAGGAGAGGGAAGGAAAUGGGAUUUCUGGUAUAACUCUGUCCUCCCCAGGGUGAGAGACAACACAAAGGGUAACUUGGGGGGCUUGGAUUUGUCCAAGCGCAGGAGUGAGAGGCUGGGUUUCCAGCUGCUCCAUCAGACAACAGAGCUGGGGAAGUCUUUGGCAAAUUCCCCACUAACCCCCUCCUUCAGGAGAGGCCAAGGUGCCCGCAGGACAGUGACCCCUGCCAGAUCCAGCAGGGAGAGCUGCCCAGGGCCAGCACAAACCCUGCUCUUCCCCUUCCUCUCCUCCCUGCUUUGUUUUUGGCUUUAACUUAAUUGAUCUGUAUCCUGCAAUCCUACCCGCAGGAGGAAUGACACAUCUGAAAAAAGCAGGAGGAUUUGUUUAA
Motacilla alba alba is the source of this 2921-nucleotide long non-coding RNA. RefSeq lists it as uncharacterized. The transcript has 3 exons. NCBI's taxonomy places the organism in Eukaryota, Metazoa, Chordata, Aves, Passeriformes, Motacillidae. The record is from RefSeq and is a predicted model, not a curated record.